GCCGCCGUAGACCAACGGCAGAGUCAGCGUUUUGAGAGAGCGCGUAGUGGAGGUUCGAAUCCUCUCGGCGGCA
This 73-nucleotide transfer RNA is filed under the name Deltaproteobacteria bacterium. RNAcentral's name for it is "tRNA-Leu". It matches the Rfam family "tRNA". Rfam says of the family: Transfer RNA (tRNA) molecules are approximately 80 nucleotides in length. Their secondary structure includes four short double-helical elements and three loops (D, anti-codon, and T loops). Lineage: Bacteria; Pseudomonadati; Myxococcota; Myxococcia. RNAcentral also lists the same sequence under 2 other names. The record is from RNAcentral.